GAUGAACGCUGGCGGCGUGCCUAAUACAUGCCAGUCGAGCGAACAGACGAGGAGCUUGCUCCUCUGACGUUUGCGGCGGACGGGUGAGUAACACGUGGAUAACCUACCUAUAAGACUGGGAUAACUUCGGGAAACCGGAGCUAAUACCGGAUAAUAUAUUGAACCGCAUGGUUCAAUAGUGAAAGACGGUUUUGCUGUCACUUAUAGAUGGAUCCGCGCCGCAUUAGCUAGUUGGUAAGGUAACGGCUUACCAAGGCGACGAUGCGUAGCCGACCUGAGAGGGUGAUCGGCCACACUGGAACUGAGACACGGUCCAGACUCCUACGGGAGGCAGCAGUAGGGAAUCUUCCGCAAUGGGCGAAAGCCUGACGGAGCAACGCCGCGUGAGUGAUGAAGGUCUUCGGAUCGUAAAACUCUGUUAUUAGGGAAGAACAAAUGUGUAAGUAACUAUGCACGUCUUGACGGUACCUAAUCAGAAAGCCACGGCUAACUACGUG
This 497-nucleotide ribosomal RNA is filed under the name uncultured bacterium. Its description in RNAcentral is "partial 16S ribosomal RNA". It matches the Rfam family "Bacterial small subunit ribosomal RNA", at positions 28 to 507 of the family's 1533-position model. The record is from RNAcentral.